This 328-nucleotide ribosomal RNA is filed under the name uncultured eukaryote. RNAcentral describes it as "partial 18S ribosomal RNA". It matches the Rfam family "Eukaryotic small subunit ribosomal RNA", at positions 1470 to 1796 of the family's 1831-position model. The record is from RNAcentral.
CCCUUAGAUGUCCUGGGCCGCACGCGUGCUACACUGACACUUACACCGAGUUUUUCCAAUGCCGAAAGGCCAUUGGUAAUCAGCAAUAAGUGUCGUGAUGGGGAUAGAUCUUUGGAAUUAUUGAUCUUGAACGAGGAAUGCCUAGUAAUCGUAGGUCAUCAGCCUGCGAUGAUUACGUCCCUGCCCUUUGUACACACCGCCCGUCGCUCCUACCGAUUGAAUGGUCCGGUGAAAAUUUCGGAUACCGGCAUUGCUGGCGGUUCGCCGCCGGCGACGCUGGUAGAAGAUCUCUAAACCUUAUCAUUUAGAGGAAGGAGAAGUCGUAACA